This 953-nucleotide ribosomal RNA is filed under the name Monosporascus brasiliensis. RNAcentral describes it as "SSU rRNA". It matches the Rfam family "Eukaryotic small subunit ribosomal RNA", at positions 76 to 1038 of the family's 1831-position model. The record is from RNAcentral. Lineage: Eukaryota; Fungi; Ascomycota; Sordariomycetes; Xylariales.
AUACCGCGAAACUGCGAAUGGCUCAUUAAAUCAGUUAUCGUUUAUUUGAUAGUACCUUACUACUUGGAUAACCGUGGUAAUUCUAGAGCUAAUACAUGCUAAAAAUCCCGACUCACGGAGGGAUGUAUUUAUUAGAUUAAAAACCAAUGCCCUCCGGGGCUCCUUGGUGAUUCAUAAUAACUUCUCGAAUCGCAUGGCCUUGUGCCGGCGAUGGUUCAUUCAAAUUUCUGCCCUAUCAACUUUCGAUGGCAGGGUCUUGGCCUGCCAUGGUUACAACGGGUAACGGAGGGUUAGGGCUCGACCCCGGAGAAGGAGCCUGAGAAACGGCUACUACAUCCAAGGAAGGCAGCAGGCGCGCAAAUUACCCAAUCCCGAUUCGGGGAGGUAGUGACAAUAAAUACUGAUACAGGGCUCUUUUGGGUCUUGUAAUUGGAAUGAGUACAAUUUAAAUCCCUUAACGAGUAACAAUUGGAGGGCAAGUCUGGUGCCAGCAGCCGCGGUAAUUCCAGCUCCAAUAGCGUAUAUUAAAGUUGUUGCAGUUAAAAAGCUCGUAGUUGAACCUUGGGCCUGGCUGGCCGGUCCGCCUCACCGCGUGCACUGGUUCGGCCGGGCCUUUCCCUCUGGGGAUCCCCAUGCCCUUCACUGGGUGUGGCGGGGAACCAGGACUUUUACUGUGAAAAAAUUAGAGUGUUCAAAGCAGGCCUAUGCUCGAAUACAUUAGCAUGGAAUAAUAGAAUAGGACGUGCGGUUCUAUUUUGUUGGUUUCUAGGACCGCCGUAAUGAUUAAUAGGGACAGUCGGGGGCAUCAGUAUUCAAUUGUCAGAGGUGAAAUUCUUGGAUUUAUUGAAGACUAACUACUGCGAAAGCAUUUGCCAAGGAUGUUUUCAUUAAUCAGGAACGAAAGUUAGGGGAUCGAAGACGAUCAGAUACCGUCGUAGUCUUAACCAUAAACU